UCGGACGAAGUGCACUUAUUUACGUAGUUAUGAAUUUCCGUUAAGGGCACAUCGUUCGAGC
Molecule: microRNA precursor, 61 nt
Filed under: Blattella germanica (German cockroach)
Lineage: Eukaryota; Metazoa; Arthropoda; Insecta; Blattodea; Blattellidae
Description: Bge-Novel-22_pre stem-loop
Source: RNAcentral